GAACCAGACUCCUACGGGAGGCAGCAGUGAGGAAUAUUGGUCAAUGGGCGCGAGCCUGAACCAGCCAAGUCGCGUGAGGGAUGACGGCCCUACGGGUUGUAAACCUCUUUUGUCGGGGAGCAAAUUCCGCCACGUGUGGCGGAGUCGAGAGUACCCGAAGAAAAAGCAUCGGCUAACUCCGUGCCAGCAGCCGCGGUAAUACGGAGGAUGCGAGCGUUAUCCGGAUUUAUUGGGUUUAAAGGGUGCGUAGGCGGAUUUUUAAGUCAGCGGUAAAAUGUCCGGGCUCAACCCGGGCCGGCCGUUGAAACUGGGGAUCUUGAGUGGGCGAGAAGUAUGCGGAAUGCGUGGUGUAGCGGUGAAAUGCAUAGAUAUCACGCAGAACUCCGAUUGCGAAGGCAGCAUACCGGCGCUCAACUGACGCUCAUGCACGAAAGUGUGGGUAUCGAACAGGAUUAGAUACCCCGGUAUC
This 469-nucleotide ribosomal RNA is filed under the name uncultured bacterium. RNAcentral describes it as "bacterial SSU rRNA". It matches the Rfam family "Bacterial small subunit ribosomal RNA", at positions 328 to 795 of the family's 1533-position model. The record is from RNAcentral.